AAAUUGAAGAGUUUGAUCAUGGCUCAGAUUGAACGCUGGCGGCAGGCCUAACACAUGCAAGUCGAGCGGUAGCACAGAGAGCUUGCUCUCGGGUGACGAGCGGCGGACGGGUGAGUAAUGUCUGGGAAACUGCCUGAUGGAGGGGGAUAACUACUGGAAACGGUAGCUAAUACCGCAUAACGUCGCAAGACCAAAGUGGGGGACCUUCGGGCCUCAUGCCAUCAGAUGUGCCCAGAUGGGAUUAGCUAGUAGGUGGGGUAACGGCUCACCUAGGCGACGAUCCCUAGCUGGUCUGAGAGGAUGACCAGCCACACUGGAACUGAGACACGGUCCAGACUCCUACGGGAGGCAGCAGUGGGGAAUAUUGCACAAUGGGCGCAAGCCUGAUGCAGCCAUGCCGCGUGUGUGAAGAAGGCCUUCGGGUUGUAAAGCACUUUCAGCGGGGAGGAAGGCGUUAAGGUUAAUAACCUUGGCGAUUGACGUUACCCGCAGAAGAAGCACCGGCUAACUCCGUGCCAGCAGCCGCGGUAAUACGGAGGGUGCAAGCGUUAAUCGGAAUUACUGGGCGUAAAGCGCACGCAGGCGGUCUGUCAAGUCGGAUGUGAAAUCCCCGGGCUCAACCUGGGAACUGCAUUCGAAACUGGCAGGCUAGAGUCUUGUAGAGGGGGGUAGAAUUCCAGGUGUAGCGGUGAAAUGCGUAGAGAUCUGGAGGAAUACCGGUGGCGAAGGCGGCCCCCUGGACAAAGACUGACGCUCAGGUGCGAAAGCGUGGGGAGCAAACAGGAUUAGAUACCCUGGUAGUCCACGCCGUAAACGAUGUCGAUUUGGAGAUUGUGCCCUUGAGGCGUGGCUUCCGGAGCUAACGCGUUAAAUCGACCGCCUGGGGAGUACGGCCGCAAGGUUAAAACUCAAAUGAAUUGACGGGGGCCCGCACAAGCGGUGGAGCAUGUGGUUUAAUUCGAUGCAACGCGAAGAACCUUACCUGGUCUUGACAUCCACAGAACUUUCCAGAGAUGGAUUGGUGCCUUCGGGAACUGUGAGACAGGUGCUGCAUGGCUGUCGUCAGCUCGUGUUGUGAAAUGUUGGGUUAAGUCCCGCAACGAGCGCAACCCUUAUCCUUUGUUGCCAGCGGUCCGGCCGGGAACUCAAAGGAGACUGCCAGUGAUAAACUGGAGGAAGGUGGGGAUGACGUCAAGUCAUCAUGGCCCUUACGACCAGGGCUACACACGUGCUACAAUGGCAUAUACAAAGAGAAGCGACCUCGCGAGAGCAAGCGGACCUCAUAAAGUAUGUCGUAGUCCGGAUUGGAGUCUGCAACUCGACUCCAUGAAGUCGGAAUCGCUAGUAAUCGUAGAUCAGAAUGCUACGGUGAAUACGUUCCCGGGCCUUGUACACACCGCCCGUCACACCAUGGGAGUGGGUUGCAAAAGAAGUAGGUAGCUUAACCUUCGGGAGGGCGCUUACCACUUUGUGAUUCAUGACUGGGGUGAAGUCGUAACAAGGUAACCGUAGGGGAACCUGCGGUUGGAUCACCUCCUUACCUUAAAGAA
RNAcentral lists this ribosomal RNA (1550 nucleotides) under Klebsiella pneumoniae. Its description in RNAcentral is "bacterial SSU rRNA". It matches the Rfam family "Bacterial small subunit ribosomal RNA". The record is from RNAcentral. Lineage: Bacteria; Pseudomonadati; Pseudomonadota; Gammaproteobacteria; Enterobacterales; Enterobacteriaceae.